GGUAGGCCGUGUUUGGUUCAGGGUGGUGGUUAUGUUUGGAGGCCUGGUUAAGGGCGGGAUGUUGGUUAUGUUGGGAGGCCGUGUUUGGUUCAGGGUGGUGGUUAUGUUUCGAGGCCGUGUUAGGGGCGGGAUGUUGGUUAUGUUGGGAGGCCGUGUUUGGUUCAGGGUGGUGGUUAUGUUAGGAGGCCGUGUUACGGGUGGGAUGUUGGUUAUGUUGGGAGGCCGUGUUUGGUUCAGGGUGGUGGUUAUGUUAGGAGGCCGUGUUAGGGGGGGGGUGUUCGUUAUGUUGUGAGGUCGUGUUUGGUUCAGGGUGGUGGUUAUGUUAGGAGGCCGUGUUAGGGGCGGGAUGUUGGUUAUGUUGGAAGGCCGUGUUUGGUUCAGGGUGGUGGUUAUGUUUGGAGGCCGUGUUAGGGGCAGGAUGUUGGUUAUGUUGGGAGGCCGUGUUUGGUUCAGGGUGGUGGUUAUGUUAGGAGGCCGUGUUAGGGGCGGGAUGUUGGUUAUGUUGGAAGGCCGUGUUUGGUUCAGGGUGGUGGUUAUGUUUGGAGGCCGUGUUAGGGGCAGGAUGUUGGUUAUGUUGGGAGGGCGUGUCUGGGUUUGGUUUGAGGUCAUGGUGAAAGAUAUCCAGCCUCCUGUGGAGUUGCUACUGCUCAUGGUAUUGUUCCCAUUGACUCCAAUCAUCACGCAUGCUAUCCCCAGGAUAGCCACAUAGAUCCAAUUGCUCCUCAUCAGUUACGUUUAUUUGCUUAUAUAUCUGUUAAUCCUGCAGUUUUUUUUUACCUUGUCUGAGAUGUUCUGGGAGUUUAGGAUCAAUGAUGGAGGUGUCAGAACUUCUCUGGCUUUAACAAUUCACAUUCAGGGUGGGACCUGAAGGGUUG
This is a long non-coding RNA of Carassius carassius (crucian carp), 875 nucleotides long. RefSeq lists it as uncharacterized. The record is from RefSeq and is a predicted model, not a curated record. NCBI's taxonomy places the organism in Eukaryota, Metazoa, Chordata, Actinopteri, Cypriniformes, Cyprinidae. The transcript is spliced from 3 exons.